CCUACGGGUGGCAGCAGUGAGGAAUAUUUGUCAAUGGACGAGCGUCUGAACCCGCCAAGUAGCGUGAAGGAUGACUGCCCUAUGGGUUGUAAACUUCUUUUAUAUGGGAAUAAAAUGUUCCACGUGUGGGAUUUUGUAUGUACCAUAUGAAUAAGGAUCGGCUAACUCCGUGCCAGCCGCCGCGGUAAUACGGAGGAUCCGAGCGUUCUCCGGAUUUAGUGGGUUUAAAGGGAGCUUAGGUGGAUUGUUAAGUCAGUUGUGAAAGUUUGCGGCUCAACCGUAAAAUUGGAGGUGAAACUGGCAGUCUUGAGUACAGUAGAGGUGGGCGGAAUUCGUGGUGUAGCGGUGAAAUGCUGAGAUAUCACGAAGAACUCCGAUUGCGAAGGCAGUUCACUGGACUGCAACUGACACUGAGGCUCGAAAGUGUGGGUAUCAAACAGGAUUAGAUACCCUGGUAGUC
This 460-nucleotide ribosomal RNA is filed under the name uncultured bacterium. RNAcentral describes it as "partial 16S ribosomal RNA". It matches the Rfam family "Bacterial small subunit ribosomal RNA", at positions 338 to 795 of the family's 1533-position model. The record is from RNAcentral.